UACGGAGGGAGCUAGCGUUGUUCGGAAUUACUGGGCGUAAAGCGCGCGUAGGCGGCUUUGUAAGUUAGAGGUGAAAGCCCGGGGCUCAACCCCGGAACUGCCUUUAAAACUGCAUCGCUUGAAUCCGGGAGAGGUGAGUGGAAUUCCCGGUGUAGCGGUGAAAUGUGUAGAGAUCGGGAGGAACACCGGUGGCGAAGGCGGGUCUCUGGGCAAUUCCUGACGCUGAGGCGCGAAAGCGUGGGGAGCAAACGGG
This 253-nucleotide ribosomal RNA is filed under the name uncultured bacterium. RNAcentral describes it as "partial 16S ribosomal RNA". It matches the Rfam family "Bacterial small subunit ribosomal RNA", at positions 524 to 776 of the family's 1533-position model. The record is from RNAcentral.